UACGUAGGGGGCAAGCGUUGUCCGGAUUUAUUGGGCGUAAAGAGCGUGUAGGCGGCUAGGUAGGUCCGUUGUGAAAACUCGAGGCUCAACCUCGAGACGUCGAUGGAAACCAUCUAGCUAGAGUCCGGAAGAGGAAAGUGGAAUUCCUGGUGUAGCGGUGAAAUGCGCAGAUAUCAGGAAGAACACCAAUGGCGAAAGCAGCUUUCUGGGACGGUACUGACGCUGAGACGCGAAAGCGUGGGGAGCGAACAGG
Molecule: ribosomal RNA, 253 nt
Filed under: uncultured bacterium
Lineage: Bacteria
Description: partial 16S ribosomal RNA
Rfam family: Bacterial small subunit ribosomal RNA
Source: RNAcentral